RNAcentral lists this ribosomal RNA (577 nucleotides) under uncultured bacterium. RNAcentral describes it as "bacterial SSU rRNA". It matches the Rfam family "Bacterial small subunit ribosomal RNA", at positions 102 to 679 of the family's 1533-position model. The record is from RNAcentral.
ACGGGUGAGGAACACGUAGGAACCUGCCCAAGAGAGGGGGACAACCAAGGGAAACUUUGGCUAAUACCGCAUAAUCUCUGAGGAGAAAAGUUGCCCGUAAGGGUAGCGCUUUUGGAGGGGCCUGCGUCCGAUUAGCUAGUUGGUGAGGUAAUAGCUCACCAAGGCGAUGAUCGGUAACUGGUCUGAGAGGACGACCAGUCACACUGGGACUGAGACACGGCCCAGACUCCUACGGGAGGCAGCAGUGGGGAAUCUUGGACAAUGGGGGCAACCCUGAUCCAGCGAUGCCGCGUGGGUGAAGAAGGCCUUCGGGUUGUAAAGCCCUUUAGGCGGGGAAGAAGUUUAUGGGAUGAAUAAUCCUGUAAGUUGACGGUACCCGCAGAAUAAGCACCGGCAAACUCUGUGCCAGCAGCCGCGGUAAUACAGAGGGUGCGAGCGUUAAUCGGAUUUACUGGGCGUAAAGGGCGCGUAGGCGGUUGUGUGAGUGUGAUGUGAAAGCCCCGGGCUUAACCUGGGAAGUGCAUCGCAAACGACAUAACUGGAGUAGGUGAGAGGGUGGCGGAAUUUCCGGUGUAGC